GUCUACAGCCAUGCCAUCCUGAACACUCCCGAUCUCGUCUGAUCUCGGAAGCUAAGCAGGGUCAGGCCUGGUUAGUACCUGGGUGAGAGACCACCUAGGAAGACCAGGUGCUGUAGGCG
Molecule: ribosomal RNA, 119 nt
Filed under: Pteropus alecto (black flying fox)
Lineage: Eukaryota; Metazoa; Chordata; Mammalia; Chiroptera; Pteropodidae
Source: RNAcentral